GGGGCUGUCGCUUAAAGGGAAAGCAUCUUGAAUGGAAUUCAAGCGGAUGGAGGUUCGAACCCUCUCAGCUCCA
Molecule: transfer RNA, 73 nt
Filed under: bacterium
Lineage: Bacteria
Description: tRNA-Ser
Rfam family: tRNA
About the family: Transfer RNA (tRNA) molecules are approximately 80 nucleotides in length. Their secondary structure includes four short double-helical elements and three loops (D, anti-codon, and T loops).
Source: RNAcentral